This 479-nucleotide ribosomal RNA is filed under the name uncultured bacterium. Its description in RNAcentral is "partial 16S ribosomal RNA". It matches the Rfam family "Bacterial small subunit ribosomal RNA", at positions 28 to 507 of the family's 1533-position model. The record is from RNAcentral.
GAUGAACGCUAGCGGGAGGCCUAACACAUGCAAGCCGAGCGGUAGAGUUUCUUCGGAAUCUUGAGAGCGGCGCACGGGUGCGUAACACGUGUGCAACCUACCUUUAUCUGGGGGAUAGCCUUUCGAAAGGAAGAUUAAUACCCCAUAAUAUAAUGAUUGGCAUCAAUUAUUAUUGAAAACUCCGGUGGAUAGAGAUGGGCACGCGCAAGAUUAGAUAGUUGGUUAGGUAACGGCUCACCAAGUCAAUGAUCUUUAGGGGUCCUGAGAGGGAGAUCCCCCACACUGGUACUGAGACACGGACCAGACUCCUACGGGAGGCAGCAGUGAGGAAUAUUGGACAAUGGGUGAGAGCCUGAUCCAGCCAUCCCGCGUGAAGGAUGACGGUCCUAUGGAUUGUAAACUUCUUUUGUACAGGGAUAAACCUACUCUCGUGAGGGUAGCUGAAGGUACUGUACGAAUAAGCACCGGCUAACUCCGUG